This is a non-coding RNA of Cicer arietinum (chickpea), 799 nucleotides long. Lineage: Eukaryota; Viridiplantae; Streptophyta; Magnoliopsida; Fabales; Fabaceae. The record is from RefSeq and is a predicted model, not a curated record.
UUGGCUAGUUAUAUCCAAAAAUAAUUUUAUUCCACCGAGAUUAAAGGAGUAUAUCAUAUAAAAUUAUCUUACUGACAAUCAAUCACAGCUUAAAAAUAAAAAUGGAAAUCAUGUAAUUGUUUGAUGUUUUGAUAAGUUGCUAUCAAUUAUCGAUGUAAAACAACUUUACUGAGUGCAUAGUCUUUAAUCUCUAUUCCAUUUUCUUGAGAGCCAUCCUCUCAACCGAUGCAGAUGAGAUUCCCCUUCACUUUUCAAGAGAAAUAAAGAGCUCAUUUAUUUUACUUUUAGAUACAUAAAAACUUCAUUAAUGUCACCAAGUCUAAAAUUAUGUACUUCAUACAUUAAAAAGCAUAAUAGUAAAACUCUAAUUAUUAUUAUAUUUAUUGGGCACUUGGAUGAAGAGAGGGGAUACCAAACUUGCUGCUACUGCAUAUUUUGUUCUGGUGCUUAUGCCUUUUCUUGGACUGUGGGAGUAUGUUUCUGUCAUGUUCUUCUCUUCUGCUGCUGGAUGAUGUUAAGGUCACAGAUGAGAUAUGAAACAUGAUUUGUGAAAGAUACUUAAACCAAAUCCACAACCAGUCAAUGCCAAUCAUAUUCAUCAUUCUACAUAUGACAUAGUUAUCAUCAACCUCAGGUAAAGCAUCUCUAUUUUAUAAUGAAAUAUUCAUGAAAGAAAACACAAUUUACAUUGAGAAAAGGAUACAAGGUUGCUUCUUCUUUAAGUUCAUUGUGGUGAGAAACAAGCUGUUAUCGAAUUAAACUUUACAUCAUAUUGAAAAUUAAGCCUACUAUAGAAAAA